GUCGUGGGGCAGCGCAGUGUAGCAAUACAUGGGCGGCGACCGGCAAACGGGUGCGGAACACGUACGCAACCUUCCUUUAAGUGGGGGAUAGCCCAGGGAAACUUGGAUUAAUACCCCUUAACAUUAUGGUGUGGCAUCACAUUAUAAUUAAAGCUACGGCGCUUAAAGAUGGGCGUGCGGCUGAUUAGGUAGUUGGCGGGGUAAAGGCCCACCAAGCCUACGAUCAGUAACUGGUGUGAGAGCACGACCAGUCACACGGGCACUGAGACACGGGCCCGACUCCUACGGGAGGCAGCAGUAAGGAAUAUUGGUCAAUGGACGCAAGUCUGAACCAGCCAUGCCGCGUGGAGGAUGAAGGCCCUCUGGGUUGUAAACUUCUUUUAUUUGGGAAGAAACCCAUCUUUUCUAAGGUGGUUGACGGUACCAGAUGAAUAAGCACCGGCUAACUCCGUGCCAGCAGCCGCGGUAAUACGGAGGGUGCAAGCGUUAUCCGGAUUCACUGGGUUUAAAGGGUGCGUAGGUGGGCAGGUAAGUCAGUGGUGAAAUCUCCGAGCUUAACUCGGAAACUGCCGUUGAUACUAUCUGUCUUGAAUAUCGUGGAGGUGAGCGGAAUAUGUCAUGUAGCGGUGAAAUGCUUAGAUAUGACAUAGAACACCCAUUGCGAA
RNAcentral lists this ribosomal RNA (665 nucleotides) under uncultured Bacteroidota bacterium. Its description in RNAcentral is "bacterial SSU rRNA". It matches the Rfam family "Bacterial small subunit ribosomal RNA", at positions 61 to 719 of the family's 1533-position model. The record is from RNAcentral. Lineage: Bacteria; Pseudomonadati; Bacteroidota.